Molecule: ribosomal RNA, 492 nt
Filed under: uncultured bacterium
Lineage: Bacteria
Description: partial 16S ribosomal RNA
Rfam family: Bacterial small subunit ribosomal RNA
Source: RNAcentral
AGUGAACGCUGGCGGUAGGCCUAACACAUGCAAGUCGAACGGCAGCACAGUAAGAGCUUGCUCUUACGGGUGGCGAGUGGCAGACGGGUGAGGAAUACAUCGGAAUCUACUUUUUCGUGGGGGAUAACGUAGGGAAACUUACGCUAAUACCGCAUACGACCUACGGGUGAAAGCAGGGGAUCUUCGGACCUUGCGCGAUUGAAUGAGCCGAUGGCGGAUUAGCUAGUUGGCGGGGUAAAGGCCCACCAAGGCGACGAUCCGUAGCUGGUCUGAGAGGAUGAUCAGCCACACUGGAACUGAGACACGGUCCAGACUCCUACGGGAGGCAGCAGUGGGGAAUAUUGGACAAUGGGCGCAAGCCUGAUCCAGCCAUACCGCGUGGGUGAAGAAGGCCUUCGGGUUGUAAAGCCCUUUUGUUGGGAAAGAAAAGCAGCAGGUUAAUACCCCGCUGUUCUGACGGUACCCAAAGAAUAAGCACCGGCUAACUUCGUG